Molecule: ribosomal RNA, 497 nt
Filed under: uncultured bacterium
Lineage: Bacteria
Description: partial 16S ribosomal RNA
Rfam family: Bacterial small subunit ribosomal RNA
Source: RNAcentral
GAUGAACGCUGGCGGCGUGCCUAAUACAUGCAAGUCGAGCGAACAGACGAGGAGCUUGCUCCUCUGACGUGAGCGGCGGACGGGUGAGUAACACGUGGAUAACCUACCUAUAAGACUGGGAUAACUUCGGAAAACCGGAGCUAAUACGGGAGAAUAUAUUGAUCCGCAUGGUGCAAUAGUGAAAGACGGUUGUGCGGUAACUUAUAGAUGGAUCCCGGCCGCAUUAGCUUGUUGGUAAGGUAACGGCUUACCAAGGCAACGAGGCGUAGCCGAGCUGAGAGGGUGGUAGGCCACACUGGAGGUGAGCCACGGUCCAGACUCCUACGGGAGGGAGCAGGAGGGAAUCUUCCGCAAUGGGCGAAAGCCUGACGGAGCAACGCCGCGUGAGUUACGGAGGUCCUGGGAUCGUAAAACUCGGUUACUAGGUAAGAACAAAUGUGUCCGUAGAUAUGCACGUCUUGACGGUACCUAAUCAGAAAGCCACGGCUAACUACGUG